GUGCUCACUUCAGCAGCACAUAUAUUAAAAAUUGGAAUGAUACAUAGAAGAUCAGUAUGGCCCCUGUGCAAGGAUGACACACAAAUCCAUUAAGUGUUCCAUAUUUUU
RNAcentral lists this small nuclear RNA (108 nucleotides) under Tupaia belangeri (northern tree shrew). The record is from RNAcentral. Lineage: Eukaryota; Metazoa; Chordata; Mammalia; Scandentia; Tupaiidae.